Molecule: ribosomal RNA, 488 nt
Filed under: uncultured bacterium
Lineage: Bacteria
Description: partial 16S ribosomal RNA
Rfam family: Bacterial small subunit ribosomal RNA
Source: RNAcentral
GAUGAACGCUGGCGGCGUGCCUAAUACAUGCAAGUCGAGCGAACAGACGAGGAGCUUGCUCCUCUGACGUUAGCGGCGGACGGGUGAGUAAUGCCUAGGAAUCUGCCUGGUAGUGGGGGAUAACGUCCGGAAACGGGCGCUAAUACCGCAUACGUCCUGAGGGAGAAAGUGGGGGAUCUUCGGACCUCACGCUAUCAGAUGAGCCUAGGUCGGAUUAGCUAGUUGGUGGGGUAAAGGCCUACCAAGGCGACGAUCCGUAACUGGUCUGAGAGGAUGAUCAGUCACACUGGAACUGAGACACGGUCCAGACUCCUACGGGAGGCAGCAGUGGGGAAUAUUGGACAAUGGGCGAAAGCCUGAACCAGCCAUGCCGCGUGUGUGAAGAAGGUCUUCGGAUUGUAAAGCACUUUAAGUUGGGAGGAAGGGCAGUAAGUUAAUACCUUGCUGUUUUGACGUUACCAACAGAAUAAGCACCGGCUAACUUCGUG